Molecule: ribosomal RNA, 460 nt
Filed under: uncultured bacterium
Lineage: Bacteria
Description: partial 16S ribosomal RNA
Rfam family: Bacterial small subunit ribosomal RNA
Source: RNAcentral
CCUACGGGAGGCAGCAGUGAGGAAUAUUGGUCAAUGGACGCAAGUCUGAACCAGCCAUGCCGCGUGCAGGAAGACGGCUCUAUGAGUUGUAAACUGCUUUUGUACGAGGGUAAACGCAGAUACGCGUAUCUGUCUGAAAGUAUCGUACGAAUAAGGAUCGGCUAACUCCGUGCCAGCAGCCGCGGUAAUACGGAGGAUUCAAGCGUUAUCCGGAUUUAUUGGGUUUAAAGGGUGCGUAGGCGGUCGGAUAAGUUAGAUGUGAAAUCCCGAGGCUCAACUUCGGAAUUGCCAUGGAUACUGUGCGGCUAGAGAGUAGUUGCGGUAGGCGGAAUGUAUGGUGUAGCGGUGAAAUGCUUAGAGAUCAUACAGAACACCGAUUGCGAAGGCAGCUUACCGAGCUACUUCUGACGUUGAGGCACGAAAGCGUGGGGAGCAAACAGGAUUAGAUACCCCAGUAGUC